This 109-nucleotide small RNA is filed under the name Pristionchus pacificus. RNAcentral's name for it is "SL2 RNA". It matches the Rfam family "SL2 RNA". From Rfam's summary of the family: This family represents SL2 RNA. SL2 RNA is involved in trans splicing in lower eukaryotes. Lineage: Eukaryota; Metazoa; Nematoda; Chromadorea; Rhabditida; Neodiplogasteridae. The record is from Rfam by way of RNAcentral.
GGUUUUUACCCAGUAUCUCAAGGUACGCUUGGGCUUCCGACCAUUGCUUCGGCUUUGUGUCGACAACCAAUAUUUUUGGGCAGCGCCGAAGGGGGUCCCCCGGGCGCAA